AAGACUCUACUUUCAGGGAUCAUUUCUAUAGUUCUUGACUAGAAAAAUUCCUCUGAAUGUGUAGGGUACUAGAAACCACAAUGAUGAGACACAACACUCUCUCCAGAGCGUGAAAUCAACUUUAAGUGAUGCUUUUGCAAGCUACUUUCUGCCAUUGAUGAUCGCUCAUAAUGUGUUUGAGUUGAUGUGAGCGAGAGGGUGUAAUCUGAAUGGA
Small nucleolar RNA from Suncus etruscus (white-toothed pygmy shrew), 214 nucleotides. RefSeq annotates it as small nucleolar RNA U3. NCBI's taxonomy places the organism in Eukaryota, Metazoa, Chordata, Mammalia, Eulipotyphla, Soricidae. The transcript has a single exon. The record is from RefSeq and is a predicted model, not a curated record.